This 1490-nucleotide ribosomal RNA is filed under the name uncultured bacterium. RNAcentral describes it as "bacterial SSU rRNA". It matches the Rfam family "Bacterial small subunit ribosomal RNA". The record is from RNAcentral.
GAGAGUUUGAUCCUGGCUCAGGAUGAACGCUAGCUACAGGCUUAACACAUGCAAGUCGAGGGGCAGCAUGGUCUUAGCUUGCUAAGGCCGAUGGCGACCGGCGCACGGGUGAGUAACACGUAUCCAACCUGCCGUCUACUCUUGGACAGCCUUCUGAAAGGAAGAUUAAUACAAGAUGGCAUCAUGAGUCCGCAUGUUCACAUGAUUAAAGGUAUUCCGGUAGACGAUGGGGAUGCGUUCCAUUAGAUAGUAGGCGGGGUAACGGCCCACCUAGUCUUCGAUGGAUAGGGGUUCUGAGAGGAAGGUCCCCCACAUUGGAACUGAGACACGGUCCAAACUCCUACGGGAGGCAGCAGUGAGGAAUAUUGGUCAAUGGGCGAGAGCCUGAACCAGCCAAGUAGCGUGAAGGAUGACUGCCCUAUGGGUUGUAAACUUCUUUUAUAAAGGAAUAAAGUCGGGUAUGGAUACCCGUUUGCAUGUACUUUAUGAAUAAGGAUCGGCUAACUCCGUGCCAGCAGCCGCGGUAAUACGGAGAUCCGAGCGUUAUCCGGAUUUAUUGGGUUUAAAGGGAGCGUAGAUGGAUGUUUAAGUCAGUUGUGAAAGUUUGCGGCUCAACCGUAAAAUUGCAGUUGAUACUGGAUAUCUUGAGUGCAGUUGAGGCAGGCGGAAUUCGUGGUGUAGCGGUGAAAUGCUUAGAUAUCACGAAGAACUCCGAUUGCGAAGGCAGUCUGCUAAGCUGCAACUGACAUUGAGGCUCGAAAGUGUGGGUAUCAAACAGGAUUAGAUACCCUGGUAGUCCACACGGUAAACGAUGAAUACUCGCUGUUUGCGAUAUACUGCAAGCGGCCAAGCGAAAGCGUUAAGUAUUCCACCUGGGGAGUACGCCGGCAACGGUGAAACUCAAAGGAAUUGACGGGGGCCCGCACAGGCGGAGGAACAUGUGGUUUAAUUCGAUGAUACGCGAGGAACCUUACCCGGGCUUAAAUUGCAGAUGAAUUACGGUGAAAGCCGUAAGCCGCAAGGCAUCUGUGAAGGUGCUGCAUGGUUGUCGUCAGCUCGUGCCGUGAGGUGUCGGCUUAAGUGCCAUAACGAGCGCAACCCUUGUUGUCAGUUACUAACAGGUUCUGCUGAGGACUCUGACAAGACUGCCAUCGUAAGAUGUGAGGAAGGUGGGGAUGACGUCAAAUCAGCACGGCCCUUACGUCCGGGGCUACACACGUGUUACAAUGGGGGGUACAGAGGGCCGCUACCACGCGAGUGGAUGCCAAUCCCAAAAACCUCUCUCAGUUCGGACUGGAGUCUGCAACCCGACUCCACGAAGCUGGAUUCGCUAGUAAUCGCGCAUCAGCCACGGCGCGGUGAAUACGUUCCCGGGCCUUGUACACACCGCCCGUCAAGCCAUGGGAGCCGGGGGUACCUGAAGUGCGUAACCGCGAGGAGCGCCCUAGGGUAAAACUGGUGACUGGGGCUAAGUCGUAACAAGGUAGCCG